RNAcentral lists this ribosomal RNA (484 nucleotides) under uncultured bacterium. RNAcentral's name for it is "partial 16S ribosomal RNA". It matches the Rfam family "Bacterial small subunit ribosomal RNA", at positions 30 to 507 of the family's 1533-position model. The record is from RNAcentral.
AUUGAACGCUGGCGGCAGGCCUAACACAUGCAAGUCGAGCGGAUGAAGGGAGCUUGCUCCUGGAUUCAGCGGCGGACGGGUGAGUAAUGCCUAGGAAUCUGCCUAGUAGUGGGGGAUAACGUCCGGAAACGGGCGCUAAUACCGCAUACGUCCUGAGGGAGAAAGUGGGGGAUCUUCGGACCUCACGCUAUCAGAUGAGCCUAGGUCGGAUUAGCUAGUUGGUGGGGUAAAGGCCUACCAAGGCGACGAUCCGUAACUGGUCUGAGAGGAUGAUCAGUCACACUGGAACUGAGACACGGUCCAGACUCCUACGGGAGGCAGCAGUGGGGAAUAUUGGACAAUGGGCGAAAGCCUGAUCCAGCCAUGCCGCGUGUGUGAAGAAGGUCUUCGGAUUGUAAAACACUUUAAGUUGGGAAGAAGAGCAGUAAGUUAAUACCUUGCUGUUUUGACGUUACCAACAGAAUAAGCACCGGCUAACUUCGUG